GAUUGAUAUUGUGAUCAGUAAAAGGU
Molecule: non-coding RNA, 26 nt
Filed under: Rattus norvegicus (Norway rat)
Lineage: Eukaryota; Metazoa; Chordata; Mammalia; Rodentia; Muridae
Source: RNAcentral